AUCCUUGAAAAGGAAGAUCAAGAACGCUUCUAAGAAGCUUUCUUGAUGGAGGGGAGCGGCAGACGGGUGAGUAACGCGUGGGAAUCUACCGUACCCUACGGAACAACAGUUGGAAACGACUGCUAAUACCGUAUACGCCCUUCGGGGGAAAGAUUUAUCGGGGUAUGAUGAGCCCGCGUUGGAUUAGCUAGUUGGUGGGGUAAAGGCCUACCAAGGCGACGAUCCAUAGCUGGUCUGAGAGGAUGAUCAGCCACAUUGGGACUGAGAAACGGCCCAAACUCCUACGGGAGGCAGCAGUGGGGAAUAUUGGACAAUGGGCGCAAGCCUGAUCCAGCCAUGCCGCGUGAGUGAUGAAGGCCCUAGGGUUGUAAAGCUCUUUCACCGGUGAAGAUAAUGACGGUAACCGGAGAAGAAGCCCCGGCUAACUUCGUGCCAGCCGCCGCGGUAA
Molecule: ribosomal RNA, 448 nt
Filed under: uncultured bacterium
Lineage: Bacteria
Description: partial 16S ribosomal RNA
Rfam family: Bacterial small subunit ribosomal RNA
Source: RNAcentral